RNAcentral lists this long non-coding RNA (725 nucleotides) under Ananas comosus (pineapple). RNAcentral describes it as "long non-coding RNA (ACOM_LNC007216)". Lineage: Eukaryota; Viridiplantae; Streptophyta; Magnoliopsida; Poales; Bromeliaceae. The record is from RNAcentral.
AAACUUUGAAAACUGAGUUUUUGAUUAUUUUAUUAAUUUAAACUCAUUCUAAUGCCUUCCAAACAUAUAUAAACAUUCAUAAAUAACUAUCAACAUUAUUUAAACUUACCGAGCAUUGUGGAUUCAUAUUUUGAGUCUUCGAGUUUUCGAUCUUCGUCUCUUCUUCUUUAAACCUUCAAGACUCCGACUUACUUCACGAAAUAUUCCAACUUAAAAUCCGUAACAAUCUCCCUCUUUAGCAAUUUCAUGACAAAACUCAAAAUUACAUCAAAAUACUCACAAUGCUCAACUCUCCAAAACUCAAAAUUGAAAUUCAUUGCCAUCACCAAAACAAUGAACUUCUCGCGUGAAAGAUCCAAAGAAAAUACAAAAUUACAAUUUUGCAACUUCUAAACAAACUCUAUGACUUAGACAUAAGGAGUCUUGAAGUCUUCAAUGAUCUGCAAAAAUAUUACUUUCUCCACGAACAAAGUUAGUAAUAAAUUUUUAAAAUCUCUCCCCCUUUGUUCAUGUGUCAAUUUCAAUUUCUCUCUCCUUUUCUUUUCAAAAACUCAUCUCUUUCUCCCCUUUUUUGUCAAAAAUUGCCAAAAAAAAUUACCCAAAUUAAGAGAGUUUAAAACAUGAUGAUUGCAUUGUGAAAAUUGUUUAGGAUUUUGUAUUGGCAAGUUUCGUGAAGUAAGUCGGAGUCGUGAAAGAUCGAAGCGGAUUGACAAAGAUCGAAGAAU